UUGAGAGUUUGAUUCUGGCUCAGAACGAACGCUGGCGGCAGGCUUAACACAUGCAAGUCGAGCGCCCUGCUUGCAGGGAGCGGCAGACGGGUGAGUAACGCGUGGGAACGUGCCUAUUGGUUCGGAAUAGCCCCGGGAAACUGGGUGUAAUACCGAAUGUGCCCUUCGGGGGAAAGAUUUAUCGCCAAUAGAUCGGCCCGCGUUAGAUUAGCUAGUUGGUGGGGUAAAAGCCUACCAAGGCUACGAUCUAUAGCUGGUCUGAGAGGAUGAUCAGCCACAUCGGGACUGAGACACGGCCCGAACUCCUACGGGAGGCAGCAGUGGGGAAUAUUGGACAAUGGGCGCAAGCCUGAUCCAGCCAUGCCGCGUGAGUGAUGAAGGCCCUAGGGUUGUAAAACUCUUUCAGUGGUGAAGAUAAUGACGGUAACCACAGAAGAAGCUCCGGCUAACUCCGUGCCAGCAGCCGCGGUAAUAC
This 475-nucleotide ribosomal RNA is filed under the name Thalassiosira rotula. Its description in RNAcentral is "partial Bacterial small subunit ribosomal RNA". It matches the Rfam family "Bacterial small subunit ribosomal RNA", at positions 1 to 526 of the family's 1533-position model. Lineage: Eukaryota; Bacillariophyta; Thalassiosirophyceae; Thalassiosirales; Thalassiosiraceae. The record is from RNAcentral.